Molecule: long non-coding RNA, 538 nt
Filed under: Helianthus annuus (common sunflower)
Lineage: Eukaryota; Viridiplantae; Streptophyta; Magnoliopsida; Asterales; Asteraceae
Description: hypothetical non coding rna
Source: RNAcentral
UUAUUAUUAUUAUAUAAUUCUUUCUCUCUCUAACCACACAUACUCUCUCUCUUAGCUUUGUAAACCUGCCACCGCUACCACCGUUAACACCUCCAUCAAAACCUUAGGUCUACAACCGCCACCACCUCACCGAAACCUUAGAUCCGCCUAACCACCACCCGACUAAAACCCUAAACCAGAAAUAACGAUGGUGGUUCACCACCAUCCACCCACCGGUUCAUCACCAUCUUCACCGCCUUAGUGCCGCCACAACAACCACCCACCACCAUCUUCACCACCUUAGCGCCGCCACAACAACGACGUCGGUUCACCACCAUCCACCCACUAGUUCCCCUCCAUCUGCCUGUCUGUUCUUAACUCAUGAGUAAUGCAACGGCUCCGAUGAACUCCACUUCUACCCAACUCAAGGAUCCAUCUGCUCCGGGAAGAUUCUAGGUUUACCUAGUAGGAGCUUCUAGCUUGUAAACCUAUUCUUACCCCAAGAUGGGUACACAUCUUUGUUUUCUUGUACCUUUAACAAUUGAUUAAAUCAAGAUUU